This is a long non-coding RNA of Antechinus flavipes (yellow-footed antechinus), 2640 nucleotides long. RefSeq lists it as uncharacterized. The transcript is spliced from 2 exons. Lineage: Eukaryota; Metazoa; Chordata; Mammalia; Dasyuromorphia; Dasyuridae. The record is from RefSeq and is a predicted model, not a curated record.
AUAUAUAUAUAUAUAUAUAUUAGUAGAUGCUUAAUAAAGAUGCUUAAUAAAUAAAAGAUAUUAAUUAAUGGAUUGAUAUGUAUGCAAAAUAAAUACAAGAUGAUUAAACCUGGCAGCUAAGGGAACCAGAAAAUAAAUAAUGAAGGGGGUGGGGAGCUUCAUUAAGGUAACAGAAGUGAGGAGGUUGUACAACUGUGACGGCCGUGGGAGACAGCCAGUGGUGGAGGAGAUGUGGAAUCCCAUGUGAGAAACACUAUGUAGGUUAAUAUGGCUUGAAUGAAAUGGGUGAAUAGGGAAUAAGUAACAUAUAAGAAAAUCAGAAAAGUAGGAAAUAGCCACAUACAUUGUAAAGACUUUAAAAAUCAGCAAUAUUUAUAUUUGAUACUAGGGGUAAUAAGGAGCCACUGGUAUUUAUUCAGGGUGGGGAGGAGGUGACAUAGUUAGAUCUGCACUUUAGGAAAAUCACUUUGACAACUGUGCAGAGGAUGGUUUGGAGGGGAGAGAAGUUUGAGGUAGGGAACAUAAAAAGGAGCUUAGUUCUACGUCAAGAUGAGAGAGAAUGAGGGAACUAGGUUAUGGACUGGAAACUAAGAGUGGAGAGGAAAUGUUAUAUAGAUAGAAGUAAUAAGAUUUGUCGAUUGAUUGUUCACAUGGGGUGAGACAUUGAGGUUGAGAAUAUGACUAGACAGAUAGUGGUGCCCUCUGACCCGAUCGAGAACUAUGGAAGAAGGGUGGGUUUGGGAGAAAAGAUAAUGAAUUCUUUUUUUACACAUGCUGACUUUGAGGGGCCUCUGGGAUAUCCAGUUUGAAAAGAGCUUGGUGAAGUAAGACUGAGAAAUCAAGACAGGAUACAUAAAUCUGAGAGCCAUUCACAUGGAAAUCAUAAUUGAAUCCAUGGAAGCUUAUAAAGUCAUUAAGAGAAAGAGUUAAUGUAAAGAGAAAAGGGAAGAACAGAAACUUGGGAUUAUUCUUGUUGAGUCAUUUUUCAGGCAUUUCCAACUCUCUGUGACCCCAUUUGGGGUUUUCUUUAGUAGUUUGCCAUUUCUUUGGCCACUUCAUUUUACAGAAUUUGGCAGACAGGGUUGAAUGACUUAUCCAGGGUCACACAGUAAGUGUCUGAGGCCAGGUUUGAGGUCAAGCUUUCUGACUCCAGACCUAGUAUUCAAUCCACAAUUAAUAUUCAUGAAAUAGAUGAUGAAUCAGCAAAUAAGACUGAGAAGGGAGAGAUAGGAGAACCAGGAGUCAGCAAUGUUCCAAAAAUUCAGAGGGGAGAGAGUGUCAAGUAAAAUAUGGUCAGUGAUGUUGCCUGUGCCAGCAAAGUGAAGAAGGUGAGAAGUGGAAAGAGACCAUGUGAUUUGAAAGUUAAGAUGAAGAGCAACUUUGGAGAGAGCACUUUUAUCCAGCUGAUUAAGUCAGAAGUCAGAUCAUAGGAGGUUAAGAAGAGAGUGAGAGAAGGAUAAAUUGAGGCACCAGCUGGGGAUAGAUUUUUUUAAAAAAUAAUUUGGCUGAGAAGAGGAGAAAUGUAAGAGUAGUUAGUGAGGAAAGUAGGCUCCACUAAGAAUUUUUUGAAGAGAGGAAGUGGUUGUGCUUGUUGGCCACAGAGAAGGAACCAGUAGAUAAGGAGAAAUUAAAGAUUAUAAAGAAGGAAUGAUAAUGGAGGCAAUCAGAUAACCAAGACUGGAGGGGAGUGGAUGGGAUGAAAACCAAAGUAAAGGAGGAUAAUGGUAAGAUGAUGUCAGGGGAUUGUGGAAUGAGGAGGAGUUGUCACAUGGACAGGAAGGAUUCAGUCCUUAUCUUCUAGGGGAUUUUAAAAGGUUUGUAGAUUUGUAGAUCUAAUGUUAGACCGGAUUUCGGGCACUAUCCUUUUAUUUUACAGAUAAUGAAACUGAGGCCUGGGGAGGGUCAGUAAUUUGUGCCCACAUAAGUGUUAAGUGUCAGAUAGGAACUUGACCCCUGUUCCUCUCAUCCCAAAGCAAAUACUCUUUCUAUUGCUUCUUAUAAAAUUGAUGAAAUCUUUUAACUUCUCCAAACUCAUUUCCUUAUCCCUAAAAUGGGGAAUAUCUGCACUAUCUUACCUCUCAGGGCUGUCAGGAGGAAAGCACUUCAUAAUCUGCAAAACUCUAUUUUAUAAGAAAAGAUAACUAAUAAUUCGGAGUAAUGGCUGAUAAGUUCCAGUGGGAGCAAAGGGUUCUUAGAAUUGCAGGAGGUAAUCAGGAAAGAUUUCAUGGAAGAUGAGUCAGAAGUGAAGCUAAAGGUUAAAGGAGAGGGAUUGAAGGUGCAGAAAGGAAGAGAGAAGAUUUCUUCAGAUGUUGUGCUGGGGAUAGUCAGGAAAUACUUCAUGGAAGAUGAGUCAGAAGCGAAGCUAAAGAUUCAAGGAGAGAGAUUGAAGGUUCAGAAAGGAAGAGAGAAGAUUUCUUCAGAUGCUGUGCUGGGGAUAGUCAGGAAAGACUUCAUGGAAGAUGAGUCAGAAGCGAAGCUAAAGGUUGAAGGAGAGGGAUUGAAGGUACAGAAAGGAAGAGAGAAGAUUUCUCCAGAUGCUGUGCUGGGGAUAGUCAGGAAAGACUUCAUGGAAGAUGAGUCAGAAGUGAAGCUAAAGGCUGAAGAAGAUAAUAGUUAUAAACAUUUAGCAUAGUGCCUGAC